GGGGAAUAUUGGACAAUGGGCGAAAGCCUGAUCCAGCCAUGCCGCGUGAGUGACGAAGGUCUUCGGAUUGUAAAGCUCUUUUGGCGGGGAAGAUAAUGACGGUACCCGCAGAAUAAGCCCCGGCUAACUUCGUGCCAGCAGCCGCGGUAAUACGAAGGGGGCUAGCGUUGUUCGGAAUCACUGGGCGUAAAGCGCACGUAGGCGGAUUUGCCAGUCAGGGGUGAAAUCCCGGGGCUCAACCUCGGAACUGCCUUUGAUACAGCAAGUCUAGAGUCCGGAAGAGGUGAGUGGAAUUCCUAGUGUAGAGGUGAAAUUCGUAGAUAUUAGGAGGAACACCAGUGGCGAAGGCGGCUCACUGGUCCGGCACUGACGCUGAGGUGCGAAAGCGUGGGGAGCAAAC
This 400-nucleotide ribosomal RNA is filed under the name uncultured bacterium. RNAcentral's name for it is "bacterial SSU rRNA". It matches the Rfam family "Bacterial small subunit ribosomal RNA", at positions 356 to 773 of the family's 1533-position model. The record is from RNAcentral.